Molecule: ribosomal RNA, 1335 nt
Filed under: uncultured eukaryote
Lineage: Eukaryota
Description: SSU rRNA
Rfam family: Eukaryotic small subunit ribosomal RNA
Source: RNAcentral
CGGAGAAGGCGCAUGAGAAACGGCUACCACAUCUAAGGAUGGCAGCAGGCGCGCAAAUUACCCAAUUCUAACUCAGAGAGGUAGUGACAAGAAAUAACAACUUCGGGCUUGCCCGAGAUUGGAAUGAGUACAAUGUAAAAUUUUUAACGAGUACCAACUGGAGGGCAAGUCUGGUGCCAGCAGCCGCGGUAAUUCCAGCUCCAGUAGCGUAUACUAAAGUUGUUGCAGUUAAAAAGCUCGUAGUUGAAUUUCUGUGUAGUGUACUUGCGGUCUCUGGACCAAUAUGCACUGCGCAUCCAUCUGAACAGCAUUUCUCGUCAUUCAUUUGUCGGUUGUGUGAUCAGAUACUUUACCUUGAGAAAAAUAGAGUGUUCCAAGCAGGCGUCCGCCUGAAUAAUAAAGCAUGGAAUAAUACAAUAGGACUGGGUUCUAUUGGUGCAUAGAACUUAGUAAUGAUUAAUAGGGACAGUUGGGGGCAUUCGUAUUUAAUUGUCAGAGGUGAAAUUCUUUGAUUUAUUAAAGACGAACCUAUGCGAAAGCAUUUGCCAAGGAUGUUUUCAUUAAUCAAGAACGAAAGUUAAGGGAUCGAAGACGAUCAGAUACCGUCGUAGUCUUAACCAUAAACUAUGCCGACUAGAGAUUGGAGGUGCAAUCUCAAUACUCCUUCAGCAUCUUAGGAGAAAUCAAAGUCUUUGGGUUCUGGGGGUAGUAUGGUCGCAAGACUGAAACCUAAAGGAAUUGACGGAAGGGCACCACAGGGUGUGGAGCCUGCGGCUUAAUUUGACUCAACACGGGGAAACUUACCAGGUCCAGACAUGGGAAGGAUUGACAGAUUGGAGAUCUUUCUUGAUUCCAUGGAUGGUGGUGCAUGGCCGUUCUUAGUUGGUGGAGUGAUUUGUCAGGUUAAUUCCGAUAACGAACGAGACCUCAACCUACUAACUAGUUGCAGUUUCUUACAAGCUGUAGACUUCUUAGAGGGACUGUAGGAUUUAACCUAAGGAAGUUUGAGGCAAUAACAGGUCUGUGAUGCCCUUAGAUGUCCUGGGCCGCACGCGCGCUACACUGAUACAGGCAGUAAGUCUCCAAUUUCGAAAGAUUUUGGGAACCUCCAAACUGUAUCGUGCUGGGGAUUGACACUUGUAAUUAUUUGUCAUCAACGAGGAAUACCUAGUAGGCGCAAGUCAACAGCUUGCACUGAUUACGUCCCUGCCCUUUGUACACACCGCCCGUCGCUCCUACCGAUUGGGUGAUGCGGUGAGCCUUUCGGACCGGCGCUUCGGCGCUGGAAAGUCAUGCAAAUCUCAUCACUUAGAGGAAGGAGAAGUCGUAACAAGG